RNAcentral lists this ribosomal RNA (307 nucleotides) under uncultured bacterium. Its description in RNAcentral is "bacterial SSU rRNA". It matches the Rfam family "Bacterial small subunit ribosomal RNA", at positions 28 to 335 of the family's 1533-position model. The record is from RNAcentral.
GACGAACGCUGGCGGCGUGCUUAACACAUGCAAGUCGAGCGGUAAGGCCCUUUCGGGGGUACGACGAGCGGCGAACGGGUGAGUAACACGUGGGUGACCUGCCCUCAGCUCUGGGAUAAGCCUGGGAAACCGGGUCUAAUACCGGAUAUGACUCCAUGACGCAUGUUGUGGGGUGGAAAGCCUUGUGCGGCUGAGGAUGGGCCCGCGGCCUAUCAGCUUGUUGGUGGGGUGAUGGCCUACCAAGGCGACGACGGGUAGCCGGCCUGAGAGGGCGACCGGCCACACUGGGACUGAGACACGGCCCAGA